GCGGUUAAAUGAUGAGGCUCUAGAAUGAGCACUGGGCACAGCGCUGGAGUCAGACUGGCGUCGGGGGCUGUGGACCGC
Small nucleolar RNA from Pteronotus mesoamericanus, 78 nucleotides. RefSeq annotates it as small nucleolar RNA U83B. Lineage: Eukaryota; Metazoa; Chordata; Mammalia; Chiroptera; Mormoopidae. The transcript has a single exon. The record is from RefSeq and is a predicted model, not a curated record.